RNAcentral lists this ribosomal RNA (253 nucleotides) under uncultured bacterium. Its description in RNAcentral is "partial 16S ribosomal RNA". It matches the Rfam family "Bacterial small subunit ribosomal RNA", at positions 524 to 776 of the family's 1533-position model. The record is from RNAcentral.
UACGGGGGGAGCAAGCGUUGUUCGGAUUUACUGGGCGUAAAGGGCGCGUAGGCGGCACUGCAAGUCAGUUGUGAAAUCUCCGGGCUUAACCCGGAAAGGUCAACUGAUACUGCAGGGCUAGAGUGCAGAAGGGGCAACUGGAAUUCUCGGUGUAGCGGUGAAAUGCGUAGAUAUUGGGAGGAACACCGGUGGCGAAGGCGGCUCUCUGGACUGAAACUGACGCUGAGGCGCGAAAGCGUGGGUAGCAAACAGG